Mustela erminea (ermine) is the source of this 942-nucleotide long non-coding RNA. RefSeq lists it as uncharacterized. Lineage: Eukaryota; Metazoa; Chordata; Mammalia; Carnivora; Mustelidae. The transcript is spliced from 4 exons. The record is from RefSeq and is a predicted model, not a curated record.
AGCAAAGUUAAUCACAAUUAGAAGGCAGAUUCAGGAUUCCAAAUUCCAUGACAGUUUGCCAAGUGAUUAAACUUGGCUUCUUCCAGGGCACACAGAGCAGGAAAGAAGACAAGCCACACAACAAACAAGAAGAGGGUGCAGGAAGUUAAUGAACCAAAUGCAAAGUCAGCAUGUGGGCACACAGCUGAGACGAGGCCCCAGUCCUGUGUGGGUCAACUCGGGCACUUACUGCUUAUUAUGUUCAAGCAGCGAAGGAACUCAGUGCUGUUAGGGAGAUCAAUCAGACUCGGGAAAUGAUUCUCAAAAUUUUCUGCCUGAGGAGACAUAAAGAAGCAUUCAGCCACUGAUUCACAUCUCCUAUUAGAAUGCAACUCUUUGAAGGAAUGAAACUACAUCUUAUCCUCAGAACCUAAAACAGUGCCAAGUACAUGACCAUCAACAUUGAUUCUCUGUCAUGAGUAAAAACACCUGACAAGAGUACUUUGAUGGAUGAAGGAGCCUAAUUAUCAUGAGACACUGUCUAUACCUCCAGUGAGUCUGGCUUCAUAGGACAAAAACUACACUAGGAAGGACAACAGACUAUGUUCUAGUCCUAAGUCACCAUAUUUAAUCUCCACUGCUUCAAGACAAACUGAAGGAAAGACUUUGCAAACAUAUAUUUUUUAUUCUUAAGGACAGCCAUUGCUCUUCUUAUUUUAAAAAUGGACAAAGUCAGACUGUGAAUGAGAGAAUCCAAGACCAGAUCUGUUUAACUAUAAAACCCCUGAACUUCAGAGUCAUCUUAGUCUUCUGGUUCCCUUUGCCUUCCCAUUCUCCUUCUCCUUAACAUUAUACAGACUUUUACCUCUAGCACCUGAUACCUACCAUACACUGCAACUAAAUUAUAAAUUUUUUUUUGAAGAUUUUAUUUAUUUAUUUGAGAGCAAGGGAGAGAGAACACGU